This is a transfer RNA of 127 nucleotides. It matches the Rfam family "tRNA". From Rfam's summary of the family: Transfer RNA (tRNA) molecules are approximately 80 nucleotides in length. Their secondary structure includes four short double-helical elements and three loops (D, anti-codon, and T loops). Further hydrogen bonds mediate the characteristic L-shaped molecular structure. tRNAs have two regions of fundamental functional importance: the anti-codon, which is responsible for specific mRNA codon recognition, and the 3' end, to which the tRNAs corresponding amino acid is attached (by aminoacyl-tRNA synthetases). tRNAs cope with the degeneracy of the genetic code in two manners: having more than one tRNA (with a specific anti-codon) for a particular amino acid; and 'wobble' base-pairing, i.e. permitting non-standard base-pairing at the 3rd anti-codon position.
GGCCGGCUGGCGUAAUGGUAACGCGUCCGUUUCCGGCUCCUCCUUUACCGGAUUCAUCCAUGGAACCCAUUCAGUUGUGAGUUCAGAAUUUGCGGAAGAUUUGCAGGUUCGAGUCCUGCGCCGGUCG